This 285-nucleotide unclassified non-coding RNA is filed under the name plant metagenome. RNAcentral describes it as "partial contains small subunit ribosomal RNA, internal transcribed spacer 1, and 5.8S ribosomal RNA". The stretch from base 1 to 54 matches the Rfam family "Eukaryotic small subunit ribosomal RNA", at positions 1778 to 1831 of the family's 1831-position model. The record is from RNAcentral.
GGACGUAAAAGUCGUAACAAGGUUUCCGUAGGUGAACCUGCGGAAGGAUCAUUAUUGUAUAACCGAGGUGCGAGGGCUGUCGCUGACCCGAAAGGUCGUGCACGCCCGAGUGCCCUCACACACAUCCAUCUCACCCCUAUGUGCACCACCGCGUGGGUCCCCCUUUGGCUUGUUCGGAGGGGGGCUUACGUUUUCACACAAACUUUGUAUGCAGUGUAGAAUGUAUUUUUUGUUUUUGCGAUCACGCAAUCAAUACAACUUUCAACAACGGAUCUCUUGGCUCUC